This 253-nucleotide ribosomal RNA is filed under the name uncultured bacterium. RNAcentral's name for it is "partial 16S ribosomal RNA". It matches the Rfam family "Bacterial small subunit ribosomal RNA", at positions 524 to 776 of the family's 1533-position model. The record is from RNAcentral.
UACGGAGGGUGCGAGCGUUAAUCGGAAUUACUGGGCGUAAAGCGCGCGUAUGUGGUCUGGUAAGUCGGAUGUGAAAGCCCCGAGCUUAACUUGGGAACGGCAUUCGAUACUGUCUGACUAGAGUAUGGUAGAGGAAAGCGGAAUUCCCGGUGUAGCGGUGAAAUGCGUAGAUAUCGGGAGGAACAUCAGUGGCGAAGGCGGCUUUCUGGACUAAUACUGACACUGAGGCGCGAAAGCGUGGGUAGCAAACAGG